This 603-nucleotide small RNA is filed under the name Pan troglodytes (chimpanzee). RNAcentral describes it as "processed transcript". The record is from RNAcentral. Lineage: Eukaryota; Metazoa; Chordata; Mammalia; Primates; Hominidae.
AGACUUCUCCAUCAGAUAGUCCUCUGCCUGGCUGUCCUUUGUGUGGACACAUGGGUAACACUGGCCUCACUUCCACAAGGGUUCUGUCCCAGAGCACUCUCUUGCCCUCAGAGGAGUGAUGUGCCCUGGGCAUUUCCAGCUCGAGAGUUCCUUCGAAAGAAGCUGAUUGGGAAGGAAGUCUGUUUCACGAUAGAAAACAAGACUCCCCAGGGGCGAGAGUAUGGCAUGAUCUACCUUGGAAAAGAUACCAAUGGGGAAAACAUUGCAGAAUCACUGGUUGCAGAGGGCUUAGCCACCCGGAGAGAAGGCAUGAGAGCUAAUAAUCCUGAGCAGAACCGGCUUUCAGAAUGUGAAGAACAAGCAAAGGCAGCCAAGAAAGGGAUGUGGAGUGAGGGGAACGGUUCACAUACUAUCCGGGAUCUCAAGUAUACCAUUGAAAACCCAAGGCACUUUGUGGACUCACACCACCAGAAGCCUGUUAAUGCUAUCAUCGAGCAUGUGCGGGACGGCAGUGUGGUCAGGGCCCUGCUCCUCCCAGAUUACUACCUGGUUACAGUCAUGCUGUCAGGCAUCAAGUGCCCAACUUUUCGACGGGAAGCAGAU